GGAGUUUCUCAAGUGCUAACGACUUUGUUUUGCUCAGAGCCCUCGUAUGGGUCAGUUUAAGUUCACCAAGAUGGACAGUGGCAGCAAGAUGGCUUCGCUCUUGCCAAGCUCCCUAUUCCCUUUUCCACACCCCUACGCCUGUCCCUAGCAUCCAGGGAUUUGUGCUCAACUUGAGGAAAUGAGACCGUGUGCUGCCACAGAGGAGAGGUUUGGGGACAGAUAGUGACGAGGACAUGUUCUGGCAGCUGUUGGGCUCAGGCUGCCUGUGGGCAAACAGACAAAGGCAGCAGCUGAUGAUGCAGAGGAUGGCUCUGCCCAGGGAGCCCCCUGGCUGGGGGACAGCAGGUUUUGGUCUCACUUGCCCCCUGGCCUGGGGCACUGUGGGGCCAUCGAGGCUGUCACCCCCGGCUGUGCAGUAAUACUCAGCGUCAUCCUCAGCCUGGAGCCCAGUGAUGGUCAGGGUGCCUGAGCUGCCAGACUUGAAGCCAGAGAUCUGAUCCGGGGCAGCAAUAGCCAUGAGAUUGGCAUAAGUGAAUACGGAUCUGGGGACCUUUCCUGGGAGCGGCUGGGACCAGUUCACACUGUUACCACCCCCGAUGUUGCUGCUGCUCCCAGUGCAGGAGAGGGUGACCCUCUGGCCCAGGGACCCAGACGUGGAGAGCAGCUGAGUCAGCACAGCCUGGGGCCAGGAUCCUGGAAGCAGGAGAGACAGAGAUGCUGAUUCUGGGGUGCAGACACAGGAGGAAGCAGGGCCCAGGGCUGUUCCCAGGCCCCCUCCCCUGUCCCUGUCCCCAGUCACCCGUGCAGUGAGCCAGGAGGGUGAGGAGCAGAGGGGACCAGGCCACGAUGCAGGCUGUCCUCGUGGCUGCUUGCUGUGGCCCCACAGCUGAAGCAGAGCGACCCCCAGUCUGUCCUUCCCCUCUUCUUACUCGGAGAGAGGGAGGGGCCCUGCAUGCCAAUGGCACCCCCAGCUCUGACCUCUCACUGGGCUCUAGAUCACGUUCCUCUGCUUCAGGGUGGCCUGGAGGUGGGCAGAGGCAUCGACGGGGGCGGGGGGCGGGGGAUCGGUGGGGAGUCCCCAGCUCGGAGCCCUGAACAGAGGGCAGGAGGCAGUGCUAGGUGGCUGGUCCCAGCUCUCAUCCCCAGAAACCCCCUCCACCCUGACGAAUGCACCCAGAGCGCCCCCUGGUGUCCAGACCCAGGCACAGCAUGUGACCUGGUGACCAGAGCCCCUCAGGGACAGGUCUUUCCCCCUGCUCUGAACACUGUCCCCUGCCUUAGGGACAAGGCAGUUGACGCUUUGUGUCCCCUGUCUCCUCAGAGCCUCUGUGUGCUCCCCUCACACCCCUCAGGGUGAGUCUUGAGGGUGCCCUUGGCUGCUCAGGGGUCAGGACUGAGGGGGCUUCUGGGGCACAAAUUCCUCUGAGAUCAAGAUCAAGUCAGAGCAGUGAUGGCUUCCUGGAGGCAGGUCCCCUUCUGUGCAGGGUGCCUGGUCCCUUCCUCUGUGUGGCUCCUCUUUGGAGGUCAGAGCCCUCCUUCCUGUGUGGCCCUCAGCUCUGAGGAGAAGGGGGCUCUUCUGUGUAGAGACGUGAGGCUGUGGGAGGACGGCCUCAGAUGCUCCUGGAAGCUGGUGACGCGUCAUUCCAAUCCUGGAAGCGGGACGGCAGGGUGUCACAGAACACGCAAGACUCUUACACCUGGAAAGUGUGGGACCAGGAGGCACUCUGGUCCACAGAACAAAGGCGCCUGGGCUUUAGCCCACAGGACUCUUAUUAAGGAAGGUGAUGAGCUUGUUAGUAGUGGGAUUAAGGAAGGUGACAAGGUUAGUGGGCAGGAACAGGCAUAGGCAAUAAGCAGGUUAUCUUCUUAGUGAUAUCCAAGGGGGUAUCCUUAGGACACAGUGCAGCUGUUUAUGGAAUGACAUGGUUAAUGCAUAAGUCCUUUAUCUUGUCUUUGGAGGACACUUGGUACUUCAGAACUCUGUGUCCAUAGAUAUUUGCCUUCUGCAGAGUUCAGCUGUUCCGUGGUCCCCAACAGUGGUGCUGAGGGAAUCCUCACUGUAUUUCAAUAUUUCCCCUCACUUGCUCACUAGAGUCACCCAGGGAGAUUUUUCCCCCUUUUUUAGCCGCACCCCAAGCAUAUGGAAGUUCUGGGGCCGGGGAUCAAAGCUGAGCCGCAUCUGUGACCUGCACCAUAACUGUGGCCGUACUGGAUCCUUAACCGAUGGCACCACAGCGGGAACUCAGGGGUUUUUUAAGAACAUGACUCCCUCCCUGGAAUGUGUUCUCCAGGCACAGGGCACAGUGUGCAGGAAGCCAGGCCCAGUGACCUUCUUCAUAACAUUUAGCUUGAACGUCUCACUGGCUCUGAGCAGUGUCUUUUCCCAAAUGAGCCCAACGUGUGGUAGCUGUUAGGAUCAACCAUCCCAAACAGAGCGUUUGAAAGAAAUAAUGUUUGUACCCAAGAAUGACUGCCAUUGGCACUGUUUAAAAAGAAGAAAAAGUUAUGUUCUUUUAGCUAAAAAUAACGUACACUCUACACCAUAUUUUUUUAAAAGGUAACUUUAACCACAAACAAACAAACAAACAAACAAAGACAAACCUUGCCAAAAAAUUACCAUAAGAUCAAACCUUAAAAAUCACUGGUCCUUUGAGUUCCCUCCGGGCUCAGCAGGUUAAGGAUCUGGUAUUUUCAUUGCUGUGGUGAGAAUUUGAUCCUUAGCCCACCCAGUCAUAC
Molecule: long non-coding RNA, 2736 nt
Filed under: Sus scrofa (pig)
Lineage: Eukaryota; Metazoa; Chordata; Mammalia; Artiodactyla; Suidae
Description: lncRNA (ENSSSCG00045010347.1)
Source: RNAcentral